AGCGAACGCUGGCGGCAGGCUUAACACAUGCAAGUCGAGCGGGCCCUUCGGGGUCAGCGGCGGACGGGUGAGUAACGCGUGGGAACGUGCCUUCUGGUCUGGAAUAACCCUGGGAAACUAGGGCUAAUACCGGAUACGCCCUUUUGGGGAAAGGUUUACUGCCGGAAGAUCGGCCCGCGUCUGAUUAGCUAGUUGGUGGGGUAACGGCCUACCAAGGCGACGAUCAGUAGCUGGUCUGAGAGGAUGAUCAGCCACACUGGGACUGAGACACGGCCCAGACUCCUACGGGAGGCAGCAGUGGGGAAUAUUGGACAAUGGGCGCAAGCCUGAUCUAGCCAUGCCGCGUGAGUGAUGAAGGCCUUAGGGUUGUAAAGCUCUUUUAUCCGGGACGAUAAUGACGGUACCGGAGGAAUAAGCCCCGGCUAACUUCGUG
Molecule: ribosomal RNA, 433 nt
Filed under: uncultured bacterium
Lineage: Bacteria
Description: partial 16S ribosomal RNA
Rfam family: Bacterial small subunit ribosomal RNA
Source: RNAcentral